This 89-nucleotide transfer RNA is filed under the name Oscillospiraceae bacterium. Its description in RNAcentral is "tRNA-Ser". It matches the Rfam family "tRNA". Rfam says of the family: Transfer RNA (tRNA) molecules are approximately 80 nucleotides in length. Their secondary structure includes four short double-helical elements and three loops (D, anti-codon, and T loops). Lineage: Bacteria; Bacillati; Bacillota; Clostridia; Eubacteriales; Oscillospiraceae. RNAcentral also lists the same sequence under 1 other name. The record is from RNAcentral.
GGAGACGUAUCGAAGUGGUCAUAACGGGGCUGACUCGAAAUCAGUUAGGGAGUGAUCCCCCGCGAGUUCGAAUCUCGCCGUCUCCGCCA